AAAUAUACUUAGGCACAUAGCAUUCAUCAGCGAAAAUAAAUGGUUUAUACCUUUAGUAGAAGCACUUGAAAUCCAGCUUUAAAAUCAUGACACUCACGGCGACGCGGCGGAGUCCCCGUGAGUGUCAUGAUUUUAAAGCUGGAUUUCAAGUGCUUCUACUAAAGGUAUAAACCAUUUAUUUUCGCUGAUGCAUGCUAUGUGCCUAAGUAUAUUU
Non-coding RNA from Paramuricea clavata, 214 nucleotides. NCBI's taxonomy places the organism in Eukaryota, Metazoa, Cnidaria, Anthozoa, Malacalcyonacea, Plexauridae. The record is from the annotation of a GenBank genome assembly.